This 198-nucleotide unclassified non-coding RNA is filed under the name Conocybe semiglobata. Its description in RNAcentral is "partial internal transcribed spacer 2". Lineage: Eukaryota; Fungi; Basidiomycota; Agaricomycetes; Agaricales; Bolbitiaceae. The record is from RNAcentral.
AAUUCUCAAUCUCUACAAACUUGUGUUGUUAGCAGAUUGGAGGUGGGGGCUUUGUGGGUGUAUCUAUUAUAUCCACUCCCCUAAAAAUUAUUAGCUGGAAUGCCUUUGCAAAACCAACUAUCAGUAUGAUAAUUAUCUACUCUGAUGUUGUUGUGAAGGGAAUCUGCUUUCAAACCGUCGUUUCGACACUUUGAAUCC